This 67-nucleotide transfer RNA is filed under the name Enoplops potanini. RNAcentral's name for it is "tRNA-Ile". Lineage: Eukaryota; Metazoa; Arthropoda; Insecta; Hemiptera; Coreidae. The record is from RNAcentral.
AAUAAAGUGCCUGAGAAAAGGGCUAUCUUGAUAGGAUAGAUAAUACAAUUUCGUUUUGUCUUUAUUA